CCCUGCAGCAGCAGCGGCGUGGUCAGAGCGAGCUUCGGAGAAGCAGUGGUGGGUUCCAUGUGAUGGUGGAGUAGGAGGCAGGUCUCCGCGGUUCAUCUGUGUUGCUCUAAAUGACACUGUUUCAUUAUUUUGAUGGCUGGAGAAUAUUUCCUAGUGUAUGUAUAUGAGAGUUUCUUGAUCUCUUUAUCUGUGGAUGAACAGCUACUUUGAAACAUAUGAUACAUUUGUGUUAAGGCUAGUCACCCUGCUGUGGAAUAGAAGGCCAGAAUUGAUCAGUCUCAUCUGAGAGUAACUUUGUACCCAUCACUGAUUCCUUCUGAGACUGCCUCCACUUCCCCAGCAGCCUCUGGUUUCUUCAUGUGGCUGCAGAUGGCAGGAUUUCCCAAAGGUUUCUGGCUGAAACAUAUUCCGUGGUGUAUCUGUACAGCAGUUUCCUCAUCCCUGCAGCUGUGUUUGAACAGGUUCAACAGUAUGGCUCCAAAGGAUGAAAUUUCAUUCUGAUUUUCUGGCUGAAGACUAUUCUCUUUGUGUAUGUCCACCACAGUUACUUUAUCCCUUCAUCUGUGGAUGGGCAGUCUCGCUGUAUUGCCCAGGCUGGAGUGCAGUGGCAUGAUCUCAGCUCACUGCAAGCUCUGCUUCCUGGGUUCACGCCAUUCUCCUGCCUCAGCCUCCUGAGUAGCUGGGAUUACAGGCACCCGCCACCACGCCCAGGAAAGAAAAAAGAAGAAAACAAACCUCCAUACGAGAAUGGGUCUAAAGGAACUUCCCAAACCUCCAUGAUUUUGCAGGAAACAAGAUAAAGCUCCAGGCCAGGAGCCCCAACUGGCUGGUGGAGGAUGUCUUGCUCCUCAGCAGCUGGGAUUUGUAAGUAUUUGUAGGAACAUGGAACAGAUCAGUGGCUGACAGGCCCAGGAAGCAGACAGUCCCCUUCCCAUAGGUCACCAGCUUCACUUCCCCUUCCUGCACCCCAUCCUGAUUUGAGGGAGCCCAGGAUGACAAAGAGGGAGUAGUUGAGCAAGGUAUGGAGUGGCAGCCUCUACAGGAGCUCAAAGGAUGCAUUUGUCCAUCUGCCCUGGGCUCAGCUUCCACACUCAGAGUCACUCACAUCCCUCCACCGUCGCCACAGCUCACCUGUGUGCCCACACGGCCAAGGUCACACUGACCCCAAACGCACACUGUUUCAACUCUCAGCACUUCACUGUCACACUCGCGUGUGUACACACAUGCUUUCUAAUUUCCACAGCCACAUGGAUGCUCACACACUCACACCUUUGCACACACACACAAGCUGGCUCACAGACACACUGGGGGCCCAGAUCCUGGUCAUUCCCCACAGGUCUUAAUAAAGGUUCAUGGAAGGAAACCUGUUUCCUAAGGUAGGGUGGGAGUGUGUGUGAGUGUGUGGGGGGGAGAGGGUGAGAGUGUGUGCGUGUGUUAGUGUGAGUGUGUGUGUAUGUAAGGAGCAGGAGUGACUGGGUCCUGAGUUUAGGGAGUUGGGAAGAGGAAGGAGAGAUGGAGACAAGCCUGGACCAAGAGCCACUCAGAGCUGCCUGGAAGGGAAGCCAGGCUGAGAAAAAGGCAAGGCAAAGAAAUAAGACACUGACAAGGAUCAAGCCAGGGUUGAGUAGGGACUGGGAACAGAGUCUGCCUCCAUGAGAAGCUGUCACAUUGCUGCUCUGGUGCCCUGUGACAGCGGCACCAUCUCCAGCUGGAGACUCCCCUCUCUGGAUCUUGUCAUUGUGACUUUGCUUUGUUGGACAACCAGGAGUGGUGAUAGGCAGGGAAUAUGGUGCCCAGGUCAGCUAGCCAUGCCACGCCAGUCCAGCUGCCAACCCACCCGUCACUGGCCAUCUCAUCACCUGCUGGAGGGAGUGGGGUGGUGCAGAUGAAACCAGCGAUCAGCUUGGCUGCCCUUGCUUCCUAGUGCCACAGUAGAGGCUAGGGGAGCAACUGGCUUUCCUCCCCAAAAGGCGGGCAGGGUUAUCCACACUUUGCCCAGGUCCCUGAAGCCUGCGGCUGAGCUCGGGGAUAACAGGGGCCAAGUCACCGGUCCCAGACACCUAGGAACUAUUAGAGACAGGAACCAGCAUAUGAGACAGGGGCUUUUAAGUAGGAGGUUGGAGAACACACGUUUUUGGUCUAAACCGGGGGCCCCUCUCUUUGCCCACUGAACCCGCGGCCUGCGUGGUGCUGAGACUGCCUCUGGCCGCGUCCGCUUGGGACAGGGCCUGAGCGGUGGCUGAUCCCACCUGGAUGUCCUGGGCCGGCUCCCACCCGACGCCCACCAUCCCGGGACGUGGUGGGGAGAGGCUGGCGCUGCUCCUUGCCAUGCUUGGCGGCCGCUGCUGCCCGGCUGGGGGUCCCGAGUCGCACACGCCCCGCAAGCCCUGGCCACCGACCCGGAGGGAACGCCCUGGGCUACGGUCCCCAAAGCCAAGAGAAGAAGCAGGUCCCAGGGCCGACUCCAAAGCCGCAUCUCCAGCUUUGUUCAUGGGUCCGGGAAGCAGAGGCCGCCGCCGGCCACCGUCGUGGGCGAGAAGAAGGGCACGAGGCGGCCGGGGCUCCUGCCCGGAACCACAUGUGCGCGCCGGGCCCGCUUCUUCAUCGCACUUGCGGCCCCGGCUGCCCGGGGCCUGCGAGUUUCCAGCCAGGGCCCGGGACUCUGGCGCGGUCCGGCCGCGAGGAAGGAAGGCGCGGCCCGGGUGGGGGUAGCGGCAGGCCUGCGGCUCCGGCCACGGGGCGGGGGCAGAAAAACGACCCCGGCGCUGUCCGGGCAUCCAGCUCGGUUCCCGCUGCAGCCAGGAGACUCCCGGGAGCGCUCUAGGAACCACAGAGCCCUGGAAGUCACCUGGCAGCCUCGCGGCGCUAAAGCCGGCGGAGCCUGAGACAGCGCGCGGCGAGGCGGUCACGCUCCACCCCCGCGUGGCAGCAGGACUCGGAUUUCGCCCCUGGUUUUAAAAUUGUGCCGGUGGAGCCCGGGACGCUGGGAAGAGCGUUCUGCGCCCCUCCAGUCGCGGUCUCCGCCCUAAACCGACUUCCAGAGCCGCCUCUGCUCCCUGGAGGGGCGCAGUGGCGGACACCGGCGUCCCACGAAGUCGCAGGUCCUCAGUCUGAGGGCUGCCCCGCACGCUCGGAAUGCAGGAGGGUCUCCGCCUCGCUGCGCUGCCCCUGGGGGCGGAGGCGUGCGCUGCAGGCGAGAGAGGCGGCCCGGUAUCGAUGGAGAAGCACAGAGGGCUUUGAGGUCGCAACGUCCCGGUUGCUGAGCGGAGUCGGGAGUCAGGUUCCAAAGGGACAGCGCUCAGGGUUGUAAUCACCACCCGGCCCACCGCUUCCGCAGCUGCGAGUCUAGGGCGGAGCUGUUGGGUGGACCGAGCAGGCGAGGCGCAGGCAGGCAGCGGCUCCGCCUCGGAAUCCGCCUCGACCGGGGCCCAGGUGCCCGCCCCACCUGUCCCUCGGUCACCCCAACCCUGUUUCCUCGACCCCCAGCACUCCUCCAGGCCUAGUUCGCUUCAGAAGCGCAAGACCCGGAAAACAAGGAAGAAGCGAGCUCAGCCUCAAUCCCCGUCCCCACCCCACUUUCGGGACCGCUACGCUGGAGAAUUGAAGGGGGCGGACCCCGGAUUAAAGCCGCUCCCUUCCCAGCCUCGCCCCGCUUUCCUAAUGUCCGUGAUGAUUUCGUUAUUGGCAGGGAAGAGCCAGGCUCCCUGCGCUCCCAAGACGGGGCGAUUGGGAGGGGGUUCUGGAGCUCACGCCUGGGGUCGGCCCGGCGGGGGUGACCCCGCGCCCUCGCCGGUGCAAGGAGAACAGGUGGUUCCCGCCGGGGCAGGGAAGCGUGGACGGUGUGGGCUCAGGCGCCUGGCAGGCACGCGGGGCCUCUAAAGCUUGGUCGCUGUCACAGAUCGUGUGGUUGUUUCUUCCGUCCCCGCCACGCCUUCCUCCUGGGAUGGGGAUUCAUUCCCUAGCAGGUGUCGGAGAACUGGCGCCCUUGCAGGGUAGGCGCCCCGGAGCCUGAGGCGGGAACUUUAAAAUCAGACGCUUGGGGGCCGGGCUGGGAAAAACUGGCGGAAAAUAUUAUAACUGAACUCUCAAUGCCAGCUGUUGUAGAACCUCCUGGGACAAGCGGUGGAAGUCCCCUCAGGAGGCUUCCGCGAUGUCCUAGGUGGCUGCUCCGCCCGCCACGGUCAUUUCCAUUGACUCACACGCGCCGCCUGGAGGAGGAGGCUGCGCUGGACACGCCGGUGGCGCCUUUGCCUGGGGGAGCGCAGCCUGGAGCUCUGGCGGCAGCGCUGGGAGCGGGGCCUCGGAGGCUGGGCCUGGGGACCCAAGGUUGGGCGAGGCGCAGGAGAUGGGCUCAGGGUUCUCCAGAGAAUCCCCAUGAGCUGACCCGCAGGGCGGCCGGGCCAGUAGGCACCGGGCCCCCGCGGUGACCUGCGGCCCCGAAGCUGGAGCAGCCACUGCAAAUGCUGCGCUGACCCCAAAUGCUGUGUCCUUUAAAUGUUUUAAUUAAGAAUAAUUAAUAGGUCCGGGUGUGGAGGCUCAAGCCUUAAUCCCCAGCACCUGGCGAGGCCGAGGAGGGAGGAUCCCUUGAGCCCAGAGGUUCGAGACUAGCCUGGGCAACACAGUCAGACUCCAUCCUUCCAAAACAAACAAACGAAAAUAAAACAAACAGAAAACG
This 4675-nucleotide long non-coding RNA is filed under the name Homo sapiens (human). Its description in RNAcentral is "long non-coding RNA NONHSAT035475.2". The record is from RNAcentral. Lineage: Eukaryota; Metazoa; Chordata; Mammalia; Primates; Hominidae.